UUGCUCCUAAUAAAGGGACUGCAGGUGGCCCAGUGGUUUAAACUGCUGUGCUGCUGGGCUGGAUGAUCAAAAGAUCGCCGGUUCGUAUCUGCACAACGGGGUGAGUUCCUGUUGCUCCGUCCCAGCUCCUGCCAACCUUGCAGUUCAAAGCAUGCAAAUGCAAGUAGAUGAAAAGGUACCACUUCGGUGGGCAGGUAACAGCG
Varanus komodoensis (Komodo dragon) is the source of this 203-nucleotide long non-coding RNA. RefSeq lists it as uncharacterized. The transcript is spliced from 3 exons. Lineage: Eukaryota; Metazoa; Chordata; Lepidosauria; Squamata; Varanidae. The record is from RefSeq and is a predicted model, not a curated record.